GGCGGCAGGCCUAACACAUGCAAGUCGAGCGGAAACGAGUUAUCUGAACCUUCGGGGAACGAUAACGGCGUCGAGCGGCGGACGGGUGAGUAAUGCCUAGGAAAUUGCCCUGAUGUGGGGGAUAACCAUUGGAAACGAUGGCUAAUACCGCAUGAUGCCUACGGGCCAAAGAGGGGGACCUUCGGGCCUCUCGCGUCAGGAUAUGCCUAGGUGGGAUUAGCUAGUUGGUGAGGUAAGGGCUCACCAAGGCGACGAUCCCUAGCUGGUCUGAGAGGAUGAUCAGCCACACUGGAACUGAGACACGGUCCAGACUCCUACGGGAGGCAGCAGUGGGGAAUAUUGCACAAUGGGCGCAAGCCUGAUGCAGCCAUGCCGCGUGUGUGAAGAAGGCCUUCGGGUUGUAAAGCACUUUCAGUCGUGAGGAAGGUAGUGUAGUUAAUAGCUGCAUUAUUUGACGUUAGCGACAGAAGAAGCACCGGCUAACUCCGUGCCAGCAGCCGCGGUAAUACGGAGGGUGCGAGCGUUAAUCGGAAUUACUGGGCGUAAAGCGCAUGCAGGUGGUUUGUUAAGUCAGAUGUGAAAGCCCGGGGCUCAACCUCGGAAUAGCAUUUGAAACUGGCAGACUAGAGUACUGUAGAGGGGGGUAGAAUUUCAGGUGUAG
RNAcentral lists this ribosomal RNA (661 nucleotides) under bacterium WP2ISO23. RNAcentral describes it as "bacterial SSU rRNA". It matches the Rfam family "Bacterial small subunit ribosomal RNA", at positions 38 to 678 of the family's 1533-position model. The record is from RNAcentral.